AGACAUACAGGUCGAGCAAGGAUGAAAAUCGGACUUAGUGAUCCGGUGGUUCUGCGUGGAAGGGCCAUCGCUCAACGGAUAAAAGCUACCCUGGGGAUAACAGGCUUAUCUCCCCCAAGAGUCCACAUCGACGGGGAGGUUUGGCACCUCGAUGACGGCUCAUCACUUCCGGGGGCUGUGGUAGGUCCCAAGGGUUGGUCUGUUCGCCCAUUAAAGUGGUACGCUGGCUGGGUUCAGAUCGUCGUUAGACAUUACGUUCCCUUUCCGUCGCUGGCGUAGGAAAUUUGCUAAGACCUGUCCGUAGUACGAGAGGACCGGGAUGGACGUACCUCUGGUGUACCAGUUGUUCUGCCAAGGGCAUGGCUGGGUAGCUAUGUACGGAAUGGAUAAGCGCUGAAAGCAUCUAAGCGCGAAGCCAACUUCAAGAU
RNAcentral lists this ribosomal RNA (428 nucleotides) under Clostridioides difficile. RNAcentral describes it as "bacterial LSU rRNA". It matches the Rfam family "Bacterial large subunit ribosomal RNA", at positions 2378 to 2805 of the family's 2925-position model. The record is from RNAcentral. Lineage: Bacteria; Bacillati; Bacillota; Clostridia; Peptostreptococcales; Peptostreptococcaceae.